This 429-nucleotide ribosomal RNA is filed under the name Pseudomonadota bacterium. RNAcentral's name for it is "Proteobacteria bacterium partial 16S ribosomal RNA". It matches the Rfam family "Bacterial small subunit ribosomal RNA", at positions 355 to 776 of the family's 1533-position model. Lineage: Bacteria; Pseudomonadati; Pseudomonadota. The record is from RNAcentral.
UGGGGAAUAUUGGACAAUGGGCGAAAGCCUGAUCCAGCCAUGCCGCGUGUGUGAAGAAGGUCUUCGGAUUGUAAAGCACUUUAAGUUGGGAGGAAGGGCAGUAAGCGAAUACCUUGCUGUUUUGACGUUACCGACAGAAUAAGCACCGGCUAACUCUGUGCCAGCAGCCGCGGUAAUACAGAGGGUGCAAGCGUUAAUCGGAAUUACUGGGCGUAAAGCGCGCGUAGGUGGUUCGUUAAGUUGAAUGUGAAAGCCCCGGGCUCAACCUGGGGACUGCAUCCAAAACUGGCGAGCUAGAGUAGGGCAGAGGGUGGUGGAAUUGCCUGUGUAGCGGUGAAAUGCGUAGAUAUAGGAAGGAACACCAGUGGCGAAGGCGACCACCUGGGCUCAUACUGACACUGAGGUGCGAAAGCGUGGGGAGCAAACAGG